This 378-nucleotide long non-coding RNA is filed under the name Androctonus crassicauda. The record is from RNAcentral. Lineage: Eukaryota; Metazoa; Arthropoda; Arachnida; Scorpiones; Buthidae.
GCUCGGACCUAUUGGAAGACAGUUUAUCUUUAAUAGGCUAAAACCCGGUUAAUUCCAAGUAAAUUACCGGCUUUUAAUGAUGGCCACGCAGCAUCAUCGGUUGGUUUUUAAUUGGAAGCCGCCACUCAAACCCGCAUUACUGGAAAUUAUUCGCCGGUUAACCGGAGACGGGGACAAAAUACGGACAAGUUAUAUCCCCCGGCUUCCAUAUCGGCCCUUAAGACCGACCAGGGCCGGCUCCGAGCAGCCUGCAAGGCUUAUGGCCCAAGCGGACGUCGACUUCGAGGGGCGCCAAAACACGUCCACUUUUAGCCUUCAAAUAAAUUUUUAAAUGAAAAAAUAAGAUAAGACUGGAACUGAUGAUCUAUUUCACAAGAG